AGGUGUACUGUGAGGUAUGCUGGAGGUAUCAGAAGUGCGAAUGCUGACAUAAGUAACGAUAAAGCGGGUGAAAAGCCCGCUCGCCGGAAGACCAAGGGUUCCUGUCCAACGUUAAUCGGGGCAGGGUGAGUCGACCCCUAAGGCGAGGCCGAAAGGCGUAGUCGAUGGGAAACAGGUUAAUAUUCCUGUACUUGGUGUUACUGCGAAGGGGGGACGGAGAAGGCUAUGUUGGCCGGGCGACGGUUGUCCCGGUUUAAGCGUGUAGGCUGGUUUUCCAGGCAAAUCCGGAAAAUCAAGGCUGAGGCGUGAUGACGAGGCACUACGGUGCUGAAGCAACAAAUGCCCUGCUUCCAGGAAAAGCCUCUAAGCAUCAGGUAACAUCAAAUCGUACCCCAAACCGACACAGGUGGUCAGGUAGAGAAUACCAAGGCGCUUGAGAGAACUCGGGUGAAGGAACUAGGCAAAAUGGUGCCGUAACUUCGGGAGAAGGCACGCUGAUAUGUAGGUGAAGCGACUUGCUCGUGGAGCUGAAAUCAGUCGAAGAUACCAGCUGGCUGCAACUGUUUAUUAAAAACACAGCACUGUGCAAACACGAAAGUGGACGUAUACGGUGUGACGCCUGCCCGGUGCCGGAAGGUUAAUUGAUGGGGUUAGCGGUAACGCGAAGCUCUUGAUCGAAGCCCCGGUAAACGGCGGCCGUAACUAUAACGGUCCUAAGGUAGCGAAAUUCCUUGUCGGGUAAGUUCCGACCUGCACGAAUGGCGUAAUGAUGGCCAGGCUGUCUCCACCCGAGACUCAGUGAAAUUGAACUCGCUGUGAAGAUGCAGUGUACCCGCGGCAAGACGGAAAGACCCCGUGAACCUUUACUAUAGCUUGACACUGAACAUUGAGCCUUGAUGUGUAGGAUAGGUGGGAGGCUUUGAAGUGUGGACGCCAGUCUGCAUGGAGCCGACCUUGAAAUACCACCCUUUAAUGUUUGAUGUUCUAACGUUGGCCCCUGAUCGGGGUUGCGGACAGUGUCUGGUGGGUAGUUUGACUGGGGCGGUCUCCUCCUAAAGAGUAACGGAGGAGCACGAAGGUUGGCUAAUCCUGGUCGGACAUCAGGAGGUUAGUGCAAUGGCAUAAGCCAGCUUGACUGCGAGCGUGACGGCGCGAGCAGGUGCGAAAGCAGGUCAUAGUGAUCCGGUGGUUCUGAAUGGAAGGGCCAUCGCUCAACGGAUAAAAGGUACUCCGGGGAUAACAGGCUGAUACCGCCCAAGAGUUCAUAUCGACGGCGGUGUUUGGCACCUCGAUGUCGGCUCAUCACAUCCUGGGGCUGAAGUAGGUCCCAAGGGUAUGGCUGUUCGCCAUUUAAAGUGGUACGCGAGCUGGGUUUAGAACGUCGUGAGACAGUUCGGUCCCUAUCUGCCGUGGGCGCUGGAGAACUGAGGGGGGCUGCUCCUAGUACGAGAGGACCGGAGUGGACGCAUCACUGGUGUUCGGGUUGUCAUGCCAAUGGCACUGCCCGGUAGCUAAAUGCGGAAGAGAUAAGUGCUGAAAGCAUCUAAGCACGAAACUUGCCCCGAGAUGAGUUCU
Molecule: ribosomal RNA, 1575 nt
Filed under: Escherichia coli
Lineage: Bacteria; Pseudomonadati; Pseudomonadota; Gammaproteobacteria; Enterobacterales; Enterobacteriaceae
Description: bacterial LSU rRNA
Rfam family: Bacterial large subunit ribosomal RNA
Source: RNAcentral